RNAcentral lists this ribosomal RNA (520 nucleotides) under uncultured Glomus. RNAcentral describes it as "SSU rRNA". It matches the Rfam family "Eukaryotic small subunit ribosomal RNA", at positions 569 to 1091 of the family's 1831-position model. Lineage: Eukaryota; Fungi; Glomeromycota; Glomeromycetes; Glomerales; Glomeraceae. The record is from RNAcentral.
AGCAGCCGCGGUAAUUCCAGCUCCAAUAGCGUAUAUUAAAGUUGUUGCAGUUAAAAAGCUCGUAGUUGAAUUUCGAGAUCGGCUUACUGGUCGUGCUUUUGUACGUACUGGUAAAUCGGUUUCUCCUUUCUGACGAACUUUAAUGCCAUUAAUUUGGUGUUUUAGGGAAUCAGGACUGUUACUUUGAAAAAAUUUAGAGUGUUUAAAGCAGGCUCACGCUUGAAUACAUUAGCAUGGAAUAACGGAAUAGGACGUUUGAUUCUAUUUUGUUGGUUUCUAGGAUCGACGUAAUGAUUAAUAGGGAUAGUUGGGGGCAUUAGUAUUCAAUUGUCAGAGGUGAAAUUCUUGGAUUUAUUGAAGACUAACUACUGCGAAAGCAUUUGCCAAGGAUGUUUUCAUUAAUCAAGAACGAAAGUUAGGGGAUCGAAGACGAUCAGAUACCGUCGUAGUCUUAACCAUAAACUAUGCCGACUAGGGAUCGGAUGAUGUUAAUUUUUUAAUGACUCAUUCGGCGCCUUAC